GAUGAACGCUGGCGGCGUGCUUAACACAUGCAAGUCGAACGAAGCAUUUGCGACAGAUUUUUUCGGAAUGAAGUUGCUUAUGACUGAGUGGCGGGCGGGUGAGUAACGCGUGGGUAACCUGCCUUGUACUGGGGGAUAGCAGCUGGAAACGGCUGGUAAUACCGCAUAAGCGCACAAUGUUGCAUGACAUGGUGUGAAAAACUCCGGUGGUAUAAGAUGGACCCGCGUCUGAUUAGCUAGUUGGUGAGAUAACAGCCCACCAAGGCGACGAUCAGUAGCCGACCUGAGAGGGUGACCGGCUACAUUGGGACUGAGACACGGCCCAGACUCCUACGGGAGGCAGCAGUGGGGAAUAUUGCACAAUGGAGGAAACUCUGAUGCAGCGACGUCGCGUGAGUGAAGAAGUAAUUCGUUAUGUAAAGCUCUAUCAGCAGGGAAGAUAGUGACGGUACCUGACUAAGAAGCUCCGGCUAAAUACGUG
This 481-nucleotide ribosomal RNA is filed under the name uncultured bacterium. RNAcentral describes it as "partial 16S ribosomal RNA". It matches the Rfam family "Bacterial small subunit ribosomal RNA", at positions 28 to 507 of the family's 1533-position model. The record is from RNAcentral.